This 97-nucleotide transfer RNA is filed under the name compost metagenome. RNAcentral's name for it is "tRNA-His". The record is from RNAcentral.
CGGUGCUCCUGGCCGGACAGGCGACGGACUUGCGCUAUGGCCGCGAGGCUGAACUGGAAGCGGAUGCGCGGGGCCAGACCCUGCUGGUCGGCGCCGG